AUACGUAGGGUGCGAGCGUUGUCCGGAAUUACUGGGCGUAAAGAGCUCGUAGGUGGUUUGUCGCGUCGUCUGUGAAAUUCCGGGGCUUAACUCCGGGCGUGCAGGCGAUACGGGCAUAACUUGAGUACUGUAGGGGAGACUGGAAUUCCUGGUGUAGCGGUGAAAUGCGCAGAUAUCAGGAGGAACACCGGUGGCGAAGGCGGGUCUCUGGGCAGUAACUGACGCUGAGGAGCGAAAGCAUGGGUAGCGAACAGGAUUAGAUCCCCUGGUAGUCCAUGCCGUAAACGGUGGGCGCUAGGUGUAGGGGUCUUCCACGACUUCUGUGCCGUAGCUAACGCAUUAAGCGCCCCGCCUGGGGAGUACGGCCGCAAGGCUAAAACUCAAAUGAAUUGACGGG
RNAcentral lists this ribosomal RNA (397 nucleotides) under uncultured bacterium. RNAcentral describes it as "partial 16S ribosomal RNA". It matches the Rfam family "Bacterial small subunit ribosomal RNA", at positions 523 to 917 of the family's 1533-position model. The record is from RNAcentral.